This 497-nucleotide ribosomal RNA is filed under the name uncultured bacterium. RNAcentral describes it as "partial 16S ribosomal RNA". It matches the Rfam family "Bacterial small subunit ribosomal RNA", at positions 28 to 507 of the family's 1533-position model. The record is from RNAcentral.
GAUGAACGCUGGCGGCGCGCCUAAUACAUGCAAGUCGAGCGAACGGACGAGAAGCUUGCUUUUCUGAUGUUAGCGGCGGACGGGUGAGUAACACGUGGAUAACCUACCUAUAAGACUGGGAUAACUUCGGGAAACCGGAGCUAAUACCGGAUAAUAUUUUGAACCGCAUGGUUCAAAAGUGAAAGACGGUCUUGCUGUCACUUAUAGAUGGAUCCGCGCUGCAUUAGCUAGUUGGUAAGGUAACGGCUUACCAAGGCAACGAUGCAUAGCCGACCUGAGAGGGUGAUCGGCCACACUGGAACUGAGACACGGUCCAGACUCCUACGGGAGGCAGCAGUAGGGAAUCUUCCGCAAUGGGCGAAAGCCUGACGGAGCAACGCCGCGUGAGUGAUGAAGGUCUUCGGAUCGUAAAACUCUGUUAUUAGGGAAGAACAUAUGUGUAGGUAACUGUGCACAUCUUGACGGUACCUAAUCAGAAAGCCGCGGCUAACUACGUG